This 301-nucleotide ribosomal RNA is filed under the name uncultured bacterium. Its description in RNAcentral is "partial 16S ribosomal RNA". It matches the Rfam family "Bacterial small subunit ribosomal RNA", at positions 509 to 807 of the family's 1533-position model. The record is from RNAcentral.
CAGUAGCCGCGGUAAUACGUAGGGUGCGAGCGUUAAUCGGAAUUCCUGGGCGUAAAGCGUGCGCAGGCGGUUGUGUAAGACAGGUGUGAAAUCCCCGGGCUUAACCUGGGAACUGCGCUUGUGACUGCACAGCUAGAGUAUGGCAGAGGGGGGUGGAAUUCCACGUGUAGCAGUGAAAUGCGUAGAGACGUGGAGGAACACCGAUGGCGAAGGCAGCCCCCUGGGCCAAUACUGACGCUCAUGCACGAAAGCGUGGGGAGCAAACAGGAUUAGAUACCCCCGUAGUCCCUGUCUCUUAUAC